CAGUAGCCGCGGUAAUACGUAGGGGGCAAGCGUUGUCCGGAAUUAUUGGGCGUAAAGCGCGCGCAGGCGGUCAUUUAAGUCUGGUGUUUAAUCACGGGGCUCAACCCCGGAUCGCACUGGAAACUGGGUGACUUGAGUGCAGAAGAGGAGAGUGGAAUUCCACGUGUAGCGGUGAAAUGCGUAGAUAUGUGGAGGAACACCAGUGGCGAAGGCGACUCUCUGGGCUGUAACUGACGCUGAGGCGCGAAAGCGUGGGGAGCAAACAGGAUUAGAUACCCCCGUAGUCCCUGUCUCUUAUACA
This 301-nucleotide ribosomal RNA is filed under the name uncultured bacterium. RNAcentral's name for it is "partial 16S ribosomal RNA". It matches the Rfam family "Bacterial small subunit ribosomal RNA", at positions 509 to 808 of the family's 1533-position model. The record is from RNAcentral.